Non-coding RNA from Haemophilus pittmaniae HK 85, 120 nucleotides. Lineage: Bacteria; Pseudomonadati; Pseudomonadota; Gammaproteobacteria; Pasteurellales; Pasteurellaceae. The record is from Rfam.
UGUCAUCGCUGAGUUAGAGAUCGGCGAAUGAUGUAUUAAUAACACUACCUUUUAGGAGUAAAAAAUGUCUCUAAGUACUGAAAAAAAGCAGCAAUCGUUGCUGAAUUUGGUCGCGAUGCG